This 499-nucleotide ribosomal RNA is filed under the name uncultured Glomeromycotina. RNAcentral describes it as "partial small subunit ribosomal RNA". It matches the Rfam family "Eukaryotic small subunit ribosomal RNA", at positions 591 to 1092 of the family's 1831-position model. Lineage: Eukaryota; Fungi; Glomeromycota. The record is from RNAcentral.
CCAAUAGCGUAUAUUAAAGUUGUUGCAGUUAAAAAGCUCGUAGUUGAAUUUCGGGAUCAAUAUGUCGGUCGUGCCUCGGUACGUACUGGCGUCAUUGGUUUCUCCCUUCUGAGGAACCACGAUGUCAUUAAUUUGGUGUCUUGGGGAAUCAGGACUGUUACUUUGAAAAAAUUAGAGUGUUUAAAGCAGGCUCACGCUUGAAUACAUUAGCAUGGAAUAAUGAAAUAGGACGUUUGAUUCUAUUUUGUUGGUUUCUAGGAUCGACGUAAUGAUUAAUAGGGAUAGUUGGGGGCAUUAGUAUUCAAUUGUCAGAGGUGAAAUUCUUGGAUUUAUUGAAGACUAACUACUGCGAAAGCAUUUGCCAAGGAUGUUUUCAUUAAUCAAGAACGAAAGUUAAGGGAUCGAAGACGAUCAGAUACCGUCGUAGUCUUAACCAUAAACUAUGCCGACUAGGGAUCGGAUGAUGUUAAUUUUUUAAUGACUCAUUCGGCGCCUUACG